RNAcentral lists this unclassified non-coding RNA (196 nucleotides) under uncultured Russula. Its description in RNAcentral is "sequence contains ITS1". Lineage: Eukaryota; Fungi; Basidiomycota; Agaricomycetes; Russulales; Russulaceae. The record is from RNAcentral.
UCGUGCAACAGAGGCGCGAGGGCUGUCGCCGACUCUCGUCGUGCACGCCCGAGCGCUCUCACGCAUAUCCCACCUCACCCCUUUGUGCAUCACCGCGUGGGUCGUCCUCACCCUUUCGGGGGAAAGGGAGGCUCGCGUUUUUUUAUACCAAACCCCCUAUCGAACGACGUUUUAGAAUGUUUUUAUGCGAUCAAUA